RNA transcript from Labrus mixtus (cuckoo wrasse), 4546 nucleotides. It is a transcript of the gene named transmembrane protein 170B, with no coding region annotated. The transcript is spliced from 4 exons. Lineage: Eukaryota; Metazoa; Chordata; Actinopteri; Labriformes; Labridae. The record is from RefSeq and is a predicted model, not a curated record.
UCACAAAGCAGGCGACUGGCCCUUUAAGGGGUUAUGUAGCCGGGCUAGCCGAUGUAGGACGAGCCGACCGUGCGUCUGCCUGCCUGCCUGCGCUCCGGCUGCCAUCCUCAUCAUGGCCUCCACACAGCCGCCACCGACGCCACCGAGGAUGAAGCGACCAGUCAGCGGCCCUUCCCUUCCCGCAGCGGAGACGGACGUCAAGCCGAAACAGAGGCACCGGUAGAGGCGAGCCGCGCCGGGGAGAGCCGCCACACAUCCCCAUGCCACCCCGGUCUCCUCCAUGCCUUCGUCUAAAGCCAAGUACAGCUAUUCGAUAAAGAGGGGUGCGAACCCGGGCGGCGGCGGCGGCGGCGGCAGCGGCAGCGGCAGAGGCGGCAGAAACAUGACAACGAACAGGGAUUAUUCUGUAAAUCUGUCGGUGCAGCAAGUGCUGAGCCUUUGGGUGCAAGGCACGACGCUGCAGCACUUCACAGAGAUGUGGUACUGGGUGUUCCUGUGGUGUCUCUUCUCCUCGCUCUUCGUCCACGGCGCGGUCGGGCUGCUCAUGUUGGUCAUGCUGCAGCGCCACAAGCGGGGCCGCCUCAUCACCCUGGUGCUGGUCAGCGUCGGUUUCCUGGCCUCGCUCUCAGGAGGGGUCAUCACCAGCGCGGCGGUGGCGGGGGUUUACCGCGUGGCGGGGAAGGACAUGGCACCGCUGGAGGCGUUGGUGUUCGGCGUGGGCCAGACCACCCUGUCCAUCAUCAUCUCCUUCUCAAGAAUCCUCGCCACCCUGUGAGGAAAAACCUGCCGAUGAGCCGAGGACGAAUGCUGAGACGAGAGCGAGAGAGAGAGAGAGAGAGAGAGAAACGAGCCAAUCAGAGACUUUUGGAUGCUCAAAAGCGGCCGAGUUUGUAGACGACGACGACGACGAAGAAGAAGAAGAAGAAGAAGAGGAGGAGGAGGAGGCGAAAAUCGCUCUCUGGACCUUUUUUUUGAGCGGCUGGAAGCAGGAGAGAGAAAAGAGAGAGAGAGCGCCACCCUGUGUUUGUGCUCUGUUACUGCCACACUGCAUUGUAGAGGAAAAUCAGUGCAGGCAGGUUGUCCUCACGCAGGAGAGCAGGAAGUGGGCGGAGCCGGCGCCAUACUCAGCUUCUGAACUUGAAAGCCAUGUUUGGGGUGUUUCCAGAGCUCCAUCACUUCUUUGUGCCAACAGCCUUCUCUGGACAUCCAGACGCCUUUGUGGCCACUGACUCUAGAAGGCUUCCUGUUGCACUUGUUGUUGGGGGGGGGGAGAACAGCAGAUACGAGUUGUCAUGGUGAUCUGACCAUCAGAAGAACAUGGCGUUUGAGGAGCGUUCAAACAGUGUUCAUCAGCAAAAAUAAAAAACACAAUUUUCCUCCUCAGUGUCACACGUCAGCCUCACCUCCUUCUCCUCCACAACGUUCACGAUCACAACCAUCACCCCCCCCCCCCUAAAGAAUUCAAAAAAGUCGCACCAUCCGGAUUCUGAGCCCGACGCGGCUCUGAAUUCUUGCACUUUGUAAAAGUUGGAGAAGCUCUUUGCCUAAGAGGUGGGAAAUCAUGGAGGAGAAAAAAACCAGCAUCCAGCGACCACGUUUGGUUUGAAAACAUUGAUUCAUCGAGUGCCAACGAGAGCUCCCAUCGGAGCCGAAGGAGCAUGUGACACGUUGGGACGCGAGGCUGUUUGUUUUUCGUUUUGGCGUCGAGAGUCCGCUGAGAAGACGCCUCUCAUGUCUGUGAAAUAAAUAUGAACCAGCGAGACAGUUAGCUUAGCAUCGUCGACAUACCAGCGGAACCUAAGGCUCACCUUUAACACGUUUGUUUGUUUGCUCCCAAAAACAGCUUUUUCAGUUUUACACAGUUUGUUGCGACUGACCGUCUUCGUGCCCGAUUGGUCCAAAACAAAAAACGCGGAAAAGUUGCGAAUCUUCAUUUUCACGCUUCAUUCUGAACAUCAGAGAAAUCGGGUGUUAAAGAACGAGUUGUGUGUCGGAGGAUUUUGUUACCUUUUAACAGAGGGGUCACUGUUUUCCCCAUUUCCAGUCUUUGUGCUAAGCUAAGCUAACUUUUCCUGAUUCAUCUUUUUCACAUGAGAGAGCCCUCCCUUCUUCUCGUCUAACUCUCUACAACAAAGCAAAGCGAGCACGUUCCCAAUUCGGCGGAGUAUUUACUGAUAGCAGACGGAGUAGGACCUGGUUCGAGCCCUCAGGGGAGCGGACUCGUUCAGGUUUGAUUCCGCUCUGGUUUGCAUGAGAUCAGGAUCAGGGUCCUCUUAUUCAGGGUUUUAAGAGAGAUGUAUUGGUAUUUAAAAAGGGUAACAAUGUUGGGAUCCGGCCUUCCUUUGCCCGAUGUACGACGAACAUUGUCUGCACUGACGUAGAGUAAAGUCCCCCCAUGGAGAGCCACCCAGACGGACUGAUUCUGCUGCUCUAACGGCCAUUCUUCUAUGGCUCCCUCUUCUUUUUUUUUUUGUUUCUUUUUUUAUUUAAUUUAUCAACCCAUGUUCCUUAAGUUUUAACUUUGCAUAUUGCACUGAGAUUAAUCUGCCUUGUUUUUAGCGAUGUGUGCGAUCACACUUCUCUGCUGUGACCCGGUCCGGUACACAUAAACAGAACCUGUUGGAGAUCAAGUGUGGAAGAAUGUGCUUGAAGCUACCGCAAUGAACUCAGAACAGCGACUUCACAGGACGACGCACUGGAGUGUUUUUUUUUUUUAAUCGAAGUUCAAUGCUCAUUACUUGGCUCAUAAGUUCUCCAGAUUCACCUCUCUCUCUUUUGUGCACAGCUCGAACACAGGGUGAGAAGAGUCCGGUUAUAAUACCAAAGUAAUGCUCAACUUCUAGCUUUAUUUAAUUCUCUUUGUCUCAUUUUUACUGUUACCACAGCCUCGGAUUCUUAUUAGUUUGAUUUAGAAGCGUUUGCACAUCGGUCCCCCCCCCCCCCCCAGACUUCUUGAAACAGCACUGGACACGACUUUGAUGACAAUGAAGUAGAUGUUUGUGUGGUUUUGUAGCUGUAAAGGUGCUGCGUGUGUCAUGAGGGUUAUGUAAUCGACACGUCUCACCUUCAGUACCAGCUCAGAACACAAGAGGGCGAUAUUGCACAGAGAAGAAGAGAGACUGUUUGGGAGAUGAUUGUGGAUGGUGAAACAGAGUGCGUGCAGACUGUUUUGAUACAGAAAUUUAACAUGAUAAAAAUGUUUUCUAGACGAAAUUAAAGCCCCUAAUUUAAAGUGUAAAAAAUAAGCAGAAAUAAUCAACCUGUUAACCCUUUUUUUUUUUUUUUUUUAAAUCCACUGACCGCUCGGCACAUCGUCCACUCUGCCCGUUUGAAUGUUUUAGCUCAAUUUCAGGGACCAAAUGUGAGCUGCUGCUGAUGACUCACCUGCUGUCCAAGCAAUGAAAUCUCUGUGAAGCUGUUUGUGGGGCAGUUUCUGCAUGUUCGUACAUGUGUGUGUGUGUGUGUGAGCAUGUGUGUGAGCAUGUGUGUGUGAGCAUGUGUGUGUGUGCUUCUUAGGAGACGUGAUGUGUGUGUGUUGUUUCUGCUGUAACCAUGUGUAGUUAGUAUAACAGGAGAUUAAUUUAUUUUCUAUCAUUAAAAAAGGGAGGAGGGGGGUUGUUAACAUUCUUUAACCCCCCCCUCCCCCCCUCUGAAGUGUCAGAGAGGUUGAGGACCUAAUUGAAAGCAGUCCACUGAGCAAUGUCUUACAUAAUGUGAUGGAAACGUUUUAAUUUGAGGCGUUAGAAAUGACUUUUCCUGCCAACGAGAGACUUCAAGAACAGGACUGAAGACGUACGCUGAGUGUCCUUACUGCACAUCCCGAGCUGUAUAUAGACGUAGUGUACAAAAUAAAACUCGACCAGAAGAAGAAGAAGAAGAAGAAGAAGAAGACGAAGAGUGAGAAUCACAGCUGAUACAAACAAACAACCAACCAGAGAGUGUGUUUUGGUUUUCACACAGUCGGAGUCUUCACACCCAGUGCCAUGAUGAUCGCUCAUGAUGAAUAUUGUUUUUCCCGCUCCGUGAUUCAGCAGCCGUCUAAGUCGCUGAUGACUGUGUGUGUGUGUGUGUGUGUGUGUGUGUGUGUGUGUGUGUGUGAGACACCCAGCAACUAAUAAUCCCUUCUAGACUUUAGAAACACCAUCACACUGCAGCUCAAUAAUCUCGUCUCUUUCAAACACUCAUAACCUGAAGCUGCCCCCCUCUGUCCUCUGACGUCCACAUGCCACACAUCCCCCCCCCCUGUCCCCUGUCCCCUGUCCCCCCCCCCUCCUCUGAAUACUUGCUGUGUACCUGCGUGAGCGCUGCAGCUCAGAUAACGUGUGAAUGGACAAUACGGACAAUCCAACAAGACAAUGUUGUACAAUAACCCAAAGUGGCACUUUGUACAUAAUGUACCAUAUGUUCUUUUUUAAUUUUGUACCAGCCGAGCCGCUGAUAUUUAUAACUAUUGCCUAUUUAUGUACAAAACGUUCUCCUGUACAUACUCAACAGUCGGUUGAAAUAAAAAAAUCUUUUGCAGUUAAAAGCCCAGGAGCGAUGUUUU